RNAcentral lists this long non-coding RNA (395 nucleotides) under Mus pahari (shrew mouse). Its description in RNAcentral is "RIKEN cDNA 4930512P04 gene (MGP_PahariEiJ_G0005788.1)". The record is from RNAcentral. Lineage: Eukaryota; Metazoa; Chordata; Mammalia; Rodentia; Muridae.
AAAGCGUUAUGGAUUAUCUUGGAAACAGAUCCUCUAUGCCUGGUCAAGCCUUGAGCUGACUGCAAACUUUAUGAGACCUUCAGCAGGAAUACCCAGCUUAGCCACAUUACUGGGAUGGGGUUGUAGCUGGUUCUUUUGGAGUGCUUGUCCUGUGAGCACAGUGAACUCAGCAUAGAAGCUGAUGCCUAGAUCCUGGCAUGAAGGAGAACCAGGAAUUCAAGGACAAAUCUGAGAGCAGCCUGGGUGUGGGUGGAUUCUUCAGGCCACUGAACAUCAGGCUAUUUAUUAUAUGGCCUAAGUAACUGUUAGACAAGGUAAAGGAGAAAGCAGGGGGCACACAUGUGAGGGUUACUGCAGCUUUUCUGUAUAUUUCAAAAUAAAAUGUUAAAAAUAAA